CUAAUUAAAUCUUUAAAAUGGUAAACAAGCUUUAAUCAAAUUCAAAAGAAAAAUUUUAAAAAUUACAAAAAAAACCUUGCUGAAAUUACAAAAAAAACCUUAAAGAAAUUACAAAAGAAACAAUAAGAAAUCUUAAAGGAGAUGAAAGGAAAUCGACAAUAAACUUUAAAAGAAUCCUUAAGAAGCCCUAAAAAAUAUUAAAAUGAUCAAAAAUAUAUUUUAAAUAAAUCUCAAUCAAGUUCUAAUUUAAUCUUAGUUAAAACCCUAAUAGACUUCAAUCAAAUUCUAAAUAAAUUCUAAAUCUUAAAUCAAAUCUUAGAUUAAAUCCUAGAUCCUAAAACAAAUCCUAAACCAAAUCCUAAAUCAAAUACUAGACAAAUCUUAAAAUCUAAACCAAAUCCUAUAUCAAAUCCUAAAUCCUAAACCAAAUCUUAAACCAAAUCCUAGAUCAAAUCUUAGAUCCUAAACCAAAUCCUAAAUAAAAUCCUAAAUCCUAAAUCCAAUCCUAAAUCAAAUCCUAGACAAAUCCUAAACCCUAAAUCAAACUCUAAAUUUUAAAUCAAAUCCUAAAAAAAUCCUAAAUCCUAAAUUAAAUCCUAAAUUCUAAACCUAAUCUUAUACAAACACUAAAUCCUAAAUCAAAUCCUAAACCAAAUCCUAACCUUAAAUCCUAAAUCAAAUUCUAGAUCAAAUCUUAAUCCUAAAUCAAAUC
This 712-nucleotide long non-coding RNA is filed under the name Physcomitrium patens. Its description in RNAcentral is "long non-coding RNA (PPAT_LNC005990)". Lineage: Eukaryota; Viridiplantae; Streptophyta; Bryopsida; Funariales; Funariaceae. The record is from RNAcentral.